AUCAAAUAGUGAAAAGUGACUA
RNAcentral lists this non-coding RNA (22 nucleotides) under Arabidopsis thaliana (thale cress). Lineage: Eukaryota; Viridiplantae; Streptophyta; Magnoliopsida; Brassicales; Brassicaceae. The record is from RNAcentral.